UUCUUUCUGGACAAUCCUUUUUAA
Molecule: unclassified non-coding RNA, 24 nt
Filed under: Mus musculus (house mouse)
Lineage: Eukaryota; Metazoa; Chordata; Mammalia; Rodentia; Muridae
Description: oocyte_clustered_small_RNA4554
Source: RNAcentral